This 301-nucleotide ribosomal RNA is filed under the name uncultured bacterium. RNAcentral's name for it is "partial 16S ribosomal RNA". It matches the Rfam family "Bacterial small subunit ribosomal RNA", at positions 509 to 807 of the family's 1533-position model. The record is from RNAcentral.
CAGUAGCCACGGUAAUACGAAGGGGGCUAGCGUUGUUCGGAAUUACUGGGCGUAAAGCACACGUAGGCGGAUAUUUAAGUCAGGGGUGAAAUCCCGCAGCUCAACUGCGGAACUGCCUUUGAUACUGGGUAUCUUGAGUAUGGAAGAGGUUAGUGGAAUUGCGAGUGUAGAGGUGAAAUUCGUAGAUAUUCGCAGGAACACCAGUGGCGAAGGCGGCUAACUGGUCCAUAACUGACGCUGAGGUGCGAAAGCGUGGGGAGCAAACAGGAUUAGAUACCCCAGUAGUCCCUGUCUCUUAUAC